CCUACGGGAGGCAGCAGUGAGGAAUAUUGGACAAUGGGCGGGAGCCUGAUCCAGCCAUGCCGCGUGCAGGAAGACUGCCCUAUGGGUUGUAAACUGCUUUUGUACGGGAAGAAACACCUCUACGUGUAGGGGCUUGACGGUACCGUAAGAAUAAGGAUCGGCUAACUCCGUGCCAGCAGCCGCGGUAAUACGGAGGAUCCGAGCGUUAUCCGGAAUCAUUGGGUUUAAAGGGUCCGUAGGUGGAUGGUUAAGUCAGAGGUGAAAUCCUGCAGCUCAACUGUAGAAUUGCCUUUGAUACUGGCUAUCUUGAAUCGAUGUGAAGUGGUUAGAAUAUGUAGUGUAGCGGUGAAAUGCAUAGAUAUUACAUAGAAUACCGAUUGCGAAGGCAGAUCACUAACAUUGUAUUGACACUGAUGGACGAAAGCGUGGGGAGCGAACAGGAUUAGAUACCCUGGUAGUCCACGCCGUAAACGAUGGAUACUAGCUGUUGGGCCUCGGCUCAGUGGCUAAGCGAAAGUGAUAAGUAUCCCACCUGGGGAGUACGUUCGCAAGAAUGAAACUUAAAGGAAUUGACGGA
RNAcentral lists this ribosomal RNA (577 nucleotides) under uncultured bacterium. RNAcentral's name for it is "bacterial SSU rRNA". It matches the Rfam family "Bacterial small subunit ribosomal RNA", at positions 338 to 917 of the family's 1533-position model. The record is from RNAcentral.